GACGAACGCUGGCGGCGUGCUUAACACAUGCAAGUCGAACGGAAAGGCCCUGCUUUCGUGGGGUGCUCGAGUGGCGAACGGGUGAGUAACACGUGAGUAACCUGCUCUUGACUUUGGGAUAACUUCAGGAAACUGGGGCUAAUACCGGAUAGGCGCUUCUGUUGCAUGGUGGGGGUGGGAAAGUUUGGGCGGUUGGGGGUGGACUCGCGGCUUAUCACCUUGUUAGUGGGGUAGUGGCUUACCAAGGCUUUGACGGGUAGGCGACUUGGGAGGGUGGCCGGCGACAAUAGUACUAAGAGACGACCCAGAGUCCAACAGGAGACAGCAGUCGGGAGUAUGGCACAGUAAGCGGAAGCCUGAUACAGAAACCCCCCGGUCGGGAAGACGUCCUUCUGGGUGUAAACAGCUGAAGCCUAAGACGAAGCUGGACUGACGGUAAUCAAUAAAGAAGCACCGGCUAACUACGUG
This 468-nucleotide ribosomal RNA is filed under the name uncultured bacterium. RNAcentral describes it as "partial 16S ribosomal RNA". It matches the Rfam family "Bacterial small subunit ribosomal RNA", at positions 28 to 507 of the family's 1533-position model. The record is from RNAcentral.